Molecule: ribosomal RNA, 253 nt
Filed under: uncultured bacterium
Lineage: Bacteria
Description: partial 16S ribosomal RNA
Rfam family: Bacterial small subunit ribosomal RNA
Source: RNAcentral
UACAGAGGUCCCAAGCGUUACUGAGAAUCACUGGGUUUAAAGGGUGCGUAGGUGGUCCGUUAAGUCAGUUGUGAAAUCCCACGGCUCAACCGUGGAACUGCUGGGUAUACUGGUUGUCUUGAGCCAGCUAGGGGCGAGCGGAACAGACGGUGGAGCGGUGAAAUGCGUAGAUAUCGGGAGGAACACCUGUGGCGAAGGCGGUUCUCUGGGCAUUACCUGACGCUGAGGAGCGAAAGUGUGGGGAGCGAACAGG